Molecule: non-coding RNA, 565 nt
Organism: Paramuricea clavata
Lineage: Eukaryota; Metazoa; Cnidaria; Anthozoa; Malacalcyonacea; Plexauridae
Source: the annotation of a GenBank genome assembly
CGCUCUUUGCCAGCUCGUAGUGUGAUAAUAGUGUCCUUAACCACAUAGGACGGUGAUUGAUGUUGUAAAUAGAGCGACGGCGGCGUCUAAAACUCCAGUGCGAUUUUAAUUGUUAAUUUCUGCUCAUUUUCUUGCAUUAUUAUUAUCUUAAUAGCCGUCGUUGUUGCACUUUCGUUCUGCUUGUUGAAGUUCUUAAUAACAGUAGUUCUUUAUAAUUAUAAAAGUGAAAUAUUUAAGGCUGUUUCUUGUCACAUCUCUGUAGUAGAUCAAGCCUUGCUUAAGUUUGCUAAGUACUAUUUAAAACAUGAACAGCAGUGUUUAUCAAAUAUAAAGGUAUACGAGGCGAAGCCAAGUAUCUUUAGAUCUGAUAAAACAAUAAAACAUGCACUGCAAAUGUUUUAAAUUGCUUCAAAAACGAUCAAUCUAGUAAGUUUGUUGGCGAAGUAAUUUUCAAAAAAUAUGUUGUGUAAGUCGAGGAAAUCAAAGUUAAAGUUUAUGUAAAUCAAGGGAAAUCCCUAUCACAUAUAAAGGUAUGACACGCUUAUGAUUUUUCUUUGUGUUUUCC